Molecule: ribosomal RNA, 504 nt
Filed under: uncultured fungus
Lineage: Eukaryota; Fungi
Description: partial 28S ribosomal RNA
Rfam family: Eukaryotic large subunit ribosomal RNA
Source: RNAcentral
GUGAAAGUCCCGUCUGGACUCAGAAACAAAGAAAAAAGAUACAUUUUCUUAGAGUCGCGUUCUUUGAGAUUGGAGCGCUAAUUGGGUGAUAAAUUUCAUCUAAAGCUAAAUACUAACGAGACUCCGAUAGCAUACAAGUACCGUGAGGGAAAGAUGAAAAGAACUUUGAAAAGAGAGUUAAAAGCGACUGAAAUCGCUAUAAGUGAAGCGGAGUGUUUGGGUGUCUAACAGUUCUUCCUGGCUGGUUUGCUGGUCAUUUUAAGUGCUUUUUUGUGACUUUGGGAUAGAUCAUAGUUGGGGGGGGGAGGUAUCCCCCCGCUUUAGCUUGCUAUUGCUUCCUUAUCCUGGAUUUCAUUGACUUAGAUCUAGGUCUCUAAUAUUGGUACAACUAAUAUUACAACAUCCCAAAGAAAUCCUUUCUCUCCGUCCCGUCUUGAAACACGGACCAAGGAGUCUAAUUUGUGUGCAAGUACAAGGGUGGAAAACCCACGUGCGAAACGAAAA